Molecule: transfer RNA, 70 nt
Filed under: Temnopleurus toreumaticus
Lineage: Eukaryota; Metazoa; Echinodermata; Echinoidea; Temnopleuroida; Temnopleuridae
Description: tRNA-Lys
Source: RNAcentral
CCUUAGUUAGCUUAUUAAAAGCCUUAAACUCUUAAUUUAAAAGAAAGUAGUUAAAACCUACUACCAAGGA